This 630-nucleotide ribosomal RNA is filed under the name uncultured bacterium. RNAcentral describes it as "bacterial SSU rRNA". It matches the Rfam family "Bacterial small subunit ribosomal RNA", at positions 74 to 701 of the family's 1533-position model. The record is from RNAcentral.
AGCACUUCGGUGCGAGUACAGCGGCGGACGGGUGAGUAACGCGUAGGAAUCUACCUAGUAGUGGGGGACAACAUGUGGAAACGCAUGCUAAUACCGCAUACGCCCUAUGGGGGAAAGCAGGGGAUCUUCGGACCUUGCGCUAUUGGAUGAGCCUGCGUCAGAUUAGCUAGUUGGUGGGGUAAUGGCCUACCAAGGCAACGAUCUGUAGCUGGUCUGAGAGGAUGACCAGCCACACUGGAACUGAGACACGGUCCAGACUCCUACGGGAGGCAGCAGUGGGGAAUAUUGGACAAUGGGCGCAAGCCUGAUCCAGCCAUGCCGCGUGUGUGAAGAAGGCUCUAGGGUUGUAAAGCACUUUCAGUAGGGAGGAAAAGUUAGUAGUUAAUAUCUGCUAACCCUGACGUUACCUACAGAAGAAGCACCGGCAAACUCCGUGCCAGCAGCCGCGGUAAUACGGAGGGUGCGAGCGUUAAUCGGAAUUACUGGGCGUAAAGCGCGCGUAGGCGGUUUGAUAAGCUGGAUGUGAAAGCCCUAGGCUCAACCUGGGAACUGCAUCCAGAACUGUCUGACUAGAGUACAGUAGAGGUGAGUGGAAUUUCCUGUGUAGCGGUGAAAUGCGUAGAUAUAGGA